UACAGAGGUGGCAAGCGUUGUUCGGAAUUACUGGGCGUAAAGGGCGCGUAGGCGGCCAUCUAAGUCAGACGUGAAAUCCCCCGGCUUAACUGGGGAACUGCGUCUGAUACUGGCGAGCUUGAGUGCAGGAGAGGGAUGCGGAAUUCCAGGUGUAGCGGUGAAAUGCGUAGAUAUCUGGAGGAACACCGGUGGCGAAGGCGGCAUCCUGGACCAACACUGACGCUGAUGAGCGAAAGCCAGGGGAGCAAACGGG
RNAcentral lists this ribosomal RNA (253 nucleotides) under uncultured bacterium. RNAcentral's name for it is "partial 16S ribosomal RNA". It matches the Rfam family "Bacterial small subunit ribosomal RNA", at positions 524 to 776 of the family's 1533-position model. The record is from RNAcentral.